ACGGAACGGUUGUAGCAUGGACACAAGAUAUAGUCAUUGAUCUCGCAACCUUUCUCCCCAUUGGAUAUCCUGUGAUCAAAGUUUAGUUGAUUACUUUUGUGGAGGGCGGUGAUAUCAUCUUCGCCUCCACAACUCUUCGCGUCCCCUCUAUUGAUUUGAAGUUGCUACAUGCAAAGAAGCUGCGCGAGCGACCAAAUUUUGGAGACUUACAUCCCUUCACGAGCUUUUACUGUCCACUGGGUAUGUUUAUUUUAGUUUUGGUCUGGAAGGUCUAGCUAGACAUGGUUUUUCAACUCAAUCUAGCUACUUCUAUCUACUAUGUCACCUCGUCUUGAUCAAUUCUAUGGUUGAAUUUAGACCAAUGCACUAAAACUUUUGGAACAAUGCUAACAAAACUAUAACAUCAUAGAAUGGCAAUCCGGGACAAGCCUUUUGGCAGGGGAUACAAUAGUUGCAACGCGUCGCUAUGUGAAGUAUUGGGCAGAUCCAAAUGGUAAAUCUCAUCAAUAAGAAGGAAGAUCACAUGGAGACAAUUAGGGUUUAGGGUCUAUUUUAAUAUUAUGUGCUUUGGUGAUGCUUAGUUGAUUUCUCAUGCUAUUGUUGGCUUUUGUUAGUAUGUUUGAUCCAGUUCAAAAAAUUCUUCAUGCCAUCCGCGUGAAUUUGUGUGAACUUGCAAUGUACUUUUUUGUUUCUUACUGAUGUUUUAUGGUGUUUUGGGUUCUACGUUAUUUGCCUUCGUAAAUAUUUUCCUUCAUAUUUAUAGCUACUGUUCAUAUCUUGCCGAGCUGAUGCUUCUUUUCUUUUUGGAAGGUAAGUAUUAUUCAUUGUACUCCCUUUGGUAGGCUAAAUAGCCUCCCAAACAUUCUUACAUUUAGGAACAUAGGGAGUAUAUUAUACGGUAGUUGUGGUGGUAGAUUGCUGUGAUCUGUCCAUUCACUUAGGUCUGCCAGUUGUAUGUUCUGUAGCCUUCAAGUGUUUGUUUUAAGUUAGGUAAUUUAAUUGAGGAAACUACAAGACAACAUUUUACUAAGUAAUAUAUUCAUUUCUUGGCAUGGUGACACCUUCAGUUUAGUCAUGUACUGAGAAUUGACAUGGUAUGCUACGUGAGCUGCUUUUCCGCAAGAAGGUAAUAAUUUCAAUUUUCAAGUGCUAACCCUGUAAAAUUUGUGCCUACAUAGUAAGUUUUUUUGCCCUUGAGACUCAUAGUAAGGAGGAUUCAGGCUUGUGCGGCACCUUAUCCUAAUAAAAAAAUAUUCAUAUAUGAAGCACCAGCUUCAUUCGGUUCUCUUGCGAAUUAUCUUUGUACAGAGUGUUUGAAUGGGGGCUACCUUUUUAGAACAUUCAAAUUCCUUUUUUUGUUUUGCAAUUAUGUGUAUAAAAAAUGUGCAUUGAAUAACUGUAGUAGACUUACAUUUCCAUCAGGAUUCUUAUUAAUCACUUGAACGACCUAUAUAUUGAUCCAUGACAGCUUAUCCGGAGUUGAGUGAGGUGAAUUUACUUUUAUGUUCCAUGCGCAUUUCUUCCUGGCAUGGUAAAUAUUGAUAGAGGCAUUGAUUAGAGAAAAACUCAAAUGACAAAAGCUAAUUCAAUUUUUUUUUCAGAUUUGGAUCUGGCCUGGAGAAUGUUAAUUGCAUACUGCAAGGGUAAUACUUGAGAAGAGCUUGGCAUGCUAUUGAGAAAUUUGUAAUAUUUUGCACUCUUGCUGAAGUCUCCAUGGUAAGAGGGCCCUCAGUUAUCUUACUCAUGCAUUGAUGAAUGUUCUCAUGCUUUUGGUCUGACGUUUAGUUUGAAGAAUACUACUCCCUCCGAUCCUAAAUUCUUGUCGUUGUACUAUUUAAUUGUCUGCUUGAAAUUUCUAGCCAUCUCGGAGCAUUUGAUUGAACCUGAUCAUUAUCCAAUGACCAUACUAUAUCCUCCUUCUGGUAAUUAAUAACACUUCAAUUUUCUACUGUCUAUAAGAAGGGCAUGUGGAACCUAAUUGUUUCAGUGCUCGUGUCCGUCUGGGAAUGUGUUUCCAGGGUUUUAGGGGUAGAUUUUAGUUAGUCUGUUAAAUUGUUUCAGUGCUUUUGUCUGUCUGGAAAUGUGUUUCCAGGGUUUUAGGGGUAGAUUUUAGUUAGUUUCUUAACUUGAAAAAAGUUGGUGGCUAAAAUUUUAUAUUUUUAUUAUCUAAUGUGUCAUUUCAAUCAAUUGACUUGACUCAGUUAAUCUUGCACAGGUGCCUUCACUUACAUAUAUCAUUUAGUGUAUAUGAGUGGAUAAACUGUGAUCUUUCCAGAUAUAGAACUUCAGGUAGCUGAUGCUAGAGGCUGGCCAUCGCCUGUACGAGAAAGGGUAGAGGUGAUAUUUUUGUCAUAGAAAAAUCUGCUCUAGGCCAUCGCCUGUACGAGAAAAGAUUCUAAAACAGGUUUGGUUCUGUUCGUGUUUAUGUUUUUGUUUUUUCUCCGAAAUGUCUGUACAUUUAGCUGUCUUAAGUCAAACUUUGUCAAUUUUCAUAUUGAUUUGGUUUGGUGUUAUAUAUGUUGAUAUUUUUUCUCUAUGAACUUGAUCAAAGCUAACAAAGUUUGACUUGGGGCAAUCUCAAAUAUAUGGAGAGCUUGCAAGGAACAACUAAUGACAUCUUUUGAUCUUUUUGUAUCCUGGCGUCACUGGUUACUCUGCGAAUCCUACCUGUAGAGGAGACAGAGAGACAGACAAGAGUCGAUGACCGGCGAGAAGCAGUCAUGCGGGUGGCAUCAUGCUCAUGCCGCUGGAGGAUGGUGGGCUUGGGCUCGCUGGCUUUGACAGGUUUAACCUCCUCCACCUGUGGUCGCUGAAGAUGGGUCUUGGCGGAGCUGCAGGGUCGGAAAGAAGUAGGGUUAUCAAGCUCCAGAUGCUCUCCAUUAGUGACCCGGGAUACUCAUUGGCAACUUUGAUCGGAUUUGCCAAGGGUUGCACUUCCAUUAUCAUUUUCGUGAACAAAUGUUGGUGUUUUCAUGGUUGAUCUCUGAUCGGAGCGGGCGAAAAAGGUGCUCCGGUGGGGUAACUUCCACAAUAUCUUUCCUUACACGAGCUUCUGCACUCCUCCAGGUCUUGCUAGCGGCAGAUUGCCAUCUCUAGCGACGACGGAGUGAUCUGCUACUGACCCGCUUGAUGAUAGUACCUGACAAUUGGGCAAACUUACCGUGUCGUUCUGUUGUUGCUACCCUCCAACAGAAGUAGUGUUUUCGUUUUUUGUUUCCCUUAGGAAGUUUAAGUAAGAACGUUGUUAGUCAUCAUGACCAAGUAAGGUUCUUGUCGAAUUCUCCGCGAUCAUAAGUCGCAAAGUACAUUGCAGCAUAAUAUUGUUCCUUUCGUACUUAAUUGGUGUAUUGUUCCUUUCGUACUUGCUGUAACCACUGUGUCUGUAUGUUUGUCUGUCAAUCCUGAAAAAUGGACCAUUGUGGACUUGUGGUCAUCAUUACGUCGAAUUUGUUGUUAUCCUGACUUCA
Molecule: long non-coding RNA, 3467 nt
Organism: Brachypodium distachyon (stiff brome)
Lineage: Eukaryota; Viridiplantae; Streptophyta; Magnoliopsida; Poales; Poaceae
Exons: 3
Source: RefSeq, a predicted model, not a curated record